Molecule: ribosomal RNA, 406 nt
Filed under: uncultured bacterium
Lineage: Bacteria
Description: partial 16S ribosomal RNA
Rfam family: Bacterial small subunit ribosomal RNA
Source: RNAcentral
AUUGAACGCUGGCGGCAGGCCUAACACAUGCAAGUCGAGCGAGCGGCGGACGGGUGAGUAAUGUCUGGGAAACUGCCUGAUGGAGGGGGAUAACUACUGGAAACGGUAGCUAAUACCGCAUACCAUCAGAUGUGCCCAGAUGGGAUUAGCUUGUUGGUGGGGUAACGGCUCACCAAGGCGACGAUCCCUAGCUGGUCUGAGAGGAUGACCAGCCACCCCGUAACUGAGACACGGUCCAGCCUCCUACGGGAGGCAGCAGUGGGGAAUAUUGCACAAUGGGCGCCAGCCUGAUGCAGCCAUGCCGCGUGUGUGAAGAAGGCCUUCGGGUUGUAAAGCACUGUCAGCGGGGAGGCGUUACUCGCAGAAGAAGCACCGGCUAACUCCGUGCCAGCAGCCGCGGUAAUUC